Non-coding RNA from Meleagris gallopavo (turkey), 3026 nucleotides. The record is from RefSeq and is a predicted model, not a curated record. Lineage: Eukaryota; Metazoa; Chordata; Aves; Galliformes; Phasianidae.
AAGGAACUCGCUGAACUCAGCGGAAACGCGGCCGUUUCGAACGAGGGCCGGCCUCGAGGCGUGCGGGGCGGCGCUGCCUCAGGUCUCGCUGACUGUUGGGCUUCGGCAGACCUAAUCUGUGAAGAUAAUCGAGGCUCUUUAGCUCUGAAUGCUGCUUCCUGGCACUGCCUGCAAAACCACAGGACUGCCAUUGCCAUAUUUGAUGUUGGCAUUGCCCAUCUACCCAUCUCAAGAACGUUCCUUAUCUACUUUAAGAUCCCCGGAUGUCAGUACUUUCCCAAGGACUGUGUAAGGAAGUGACCAUCCUAAAUUAGUUUUGAUAGUCUUUACUUCAUCAGUUCAUGAGAUAGCACUUAACAGUUACUCCCUUAAAACUCAUCUUUUUCUCUUGAGGGCUAGAAAAAGAUUUUCCUUGUGAAGUGUCAUCAUAGCUUUUCUUAAGGACUUCCAUGGCACCCCUCACUCAUUAGCUGUGACUUUCCUAAGGACCUGCAGAAGGAGACUGUUACAAAACUUGCCUGUUGAUAGCAGCUAAGCAGCUGGUGAGCUAUAUUGUGUGCUCUAUUAGUCUGCACAAAAACAUGUUCGGAUUGCUGUCACCUCCUCCCCAUUCCCAUCCCACCUGUUUGGCUCAUCUGCCUCAUCUUGUGACUUGUCAUCAGUCUGCCUUGUAAAUAGUUUGUGGCAGAAACUUUUUCAUGAGAUACCUGUAUAGGUAUACGCAGAAAGAGGAAGUACCUACCAUGACUGAGCCUGAGCUCUUGGCUGAAGAUUAUGGCCACGAUUCCAAUGCAGAUAAUAAUGCUAAUAUUGCAAGACUUUUUCUCACACGUCUUCUGCAGACAAAGAGCUGUACUGCAGCAAACACUUUACAGGAUGUUACGUUUUUGAAUCCAGCUACCUGUUGUUGAAUUGCUAUAGUAUAAAUUUCACCCCGUCUUCAAACCUUUGCUAUGGCUUAAGCUUUAAAGAUAUUGCUGUAAAUCAGCAGAGCUCUUGUUCCUUUGUAGAGAGAUGCUCAUUUGUACCUACUUGAUUUCACCACGGUCUGUUUUGUUUUACUAAAAGUAGAAAUCACAGCAGUAGAUAUCUCAUUCUGAUGGACAUUUUGUAGAUGCUCAGUGAACAGCUUUUUGCCACUGUGAGAAGUACCAGUGUCUGCAAGUGUUCAUAUUGCAGGUGCUUAGAAAGAUGAUUUUUAAAUGUUCCAGCAUUAUUGUCCUAUGGUAUUUAUUCUGUUGUGCUUCAAAAUUCUUGAGAGAUACUAAAUUCCAUAGCAGAUGGGAACAAAUCUGUAUCACAUUCAACAGAAAAUCUCCACUAUCCUAGUCACUUCUUACUUUCUUAUAGAUAUUUUUUAAAAUAUAAAUGUAGUUGUCUGUACGUGGGGUUUUAUUUUAAGGCGACAAACCCUGUCCUCUUGUAGUUAUAAAACUUUGUUCAAUUGGAGCAGUUUUUUGUUAAUGUCAGGAGCUGUAGCUGCUUGGCAACUGAAUGGAUGUAAGGAACUCUAAGGUAUGACCCUUUCAAAUCUGUGAGAAAGUUAAUGUGAGUUCUGAAUGAAUAUUUUAUGAAAUCUGAGGAGACUAGAACACAGUGUCUGAUUCAAGGGUGCAGUGUUCCUGCAGCAAAUGUUGGAAGGUACCAGGAACUUUAUUCUCUGUUUCUGUCAGAAUAUCAAAGAAAUUAAAAUAGUCAUAUGGAUGAUGAAAUGUAAACCUCCAUAACCUACUAAGAUGGGGUUGCUUAAAUAAUUCUUCCAGUUUUUAGUAUGUUUCUGAUAGGACCUGGAUAGAUUGUGUUAUACGGUGAGAUCAGCUCCGAGCUGACUGAAAGCAACGCUUACAGCAGGCUUUAUUUUGGCCUACACAAAGGUCUGAGAUGUUGCACAGACUGUGCUAUUUCUUAAAGGGUUGUCGUGAAAUACAUUUGGAUCCAAAGUACUUAGAAAAGUACAGUUUGGAUUUAAAUUGCAGCCUUUGCUUUUUUUCUGUGCAUCUUGCAAACUGUUGGAGAAGUAUUGCAGCCUCUUAGAAAUAAUCAGUAUGAUCCCUAGCAGCCCAUGCACAGGAUGGUUACUGUGGUACUGUACUCAGAAAUUGGCCAAAGACAUUGCUUAAGAGAAGGAAAACGUAAAUAAAUCCAAGUGAUGGGUGAGUAUUAUAAAGGGUGCUACAGUACUGACAUAUAGCUUCAUUAUUCAGAUACUUAUGUAUUAUCUUUAUUCUUAAAAGAGUAAUGAUGUAGAAGUGCUAUUUUCCAAAUGUUAAUUCAGUUCUCUGCAGAUGGCAACCAUCUGUUAAAUGACAAGUCCUGUACCAUAUUUGAGUAGCACUUUAUAUAGCUUGGAUGGACGUAUUGGUGCAAUACAUAAAUGGAGUUACCGAGGUGACACCUGGUAGAUUUGUUCGUUUUCUGUUGCUUUUCCGAAAACCAGAGAAUUUCAAAGCUCAGUAUUUUUUGCAUAUCUUCUGUAUGUUGAGUUAAAGCUUGACAUUCACAAGCCAGUCCACAACAUACUCCUGAGAGAGUCACAAUGCUAGGAAAUACCUUUAAAUUACAACAUAACUAAUUAUCAAGGCCCUAAUUCUACAGUGUCACCAUGUGGAUGAGCUCUUACAGAUACUCACAGGAAACACUGCAAGCUUUUAUGAGCCUCAGGAUCAUCAUGGCUUAACAAGCAAACAGCUCUUGGAGCUGCCAGUACUCCGUUAUUUUCUGUUGUUGCUUUUUUUGUUGUUUGUUUUUUGGAGGGAGGGUGGUUGUGCCUGGUUUCUUUUUUCUAGGAAAAUAGUAGCACUGUAUUACAAUAUAGCUUAGUGUUACAGGAGUAAAGUGAUCUUUUCUGCAUAUUUGUUUGUUAGCCAAGCAAGUUCUGAUCCGUUUCAUAUUGUUUUUUUCUAAAGAUUUUUUCAAGUUAUGGUGCUAAGUUUUAAUUCACAUGCCUUGCUUUUGUUGUUGUAAAAUUGCCUUAUGCUUUUAUUACUGUGUUUUUGAUAAAAUUCAGUGAGUAUCCUGACUUGUGU